CUAACACAUGCAAGUCGAGCGGUAGCACAGAGAGCUUGCUCUCGGGUGACGAGCGGCGGACGGGUGAGUAAUGUCUGGGAAACUGCCUGAUGGAGGGGGAUAACUACUGGAAACGGUAGCUAAUACCGCAUAACGUCGCAAGACCAAAGUGGGGGACCUUCGGGCCUCAUGCCAUCAGAUGUGCCCAGAUGGGAUUAGCUGGUAGGUGGGGUAACGGCUCACCUAGGCGACGAUCCCUAGCUGGUCUGAGAGGAUGACCAGCCACACUGGAACUGAGACACGGUCCAGACUCCUACGGGAGGCAGCAGUGGGGAAUAUUGCACAAUGGGCGCAAGUGUAUGCAGCCAUGCCGCGUGUGUGAAGAAGGCCUUCGGGUUGUAAAGCACUUUCAGCGGGGAGGAAGGCGGUGAGGUUAAUAACCUCAUCGAUUGACGUUACCCGCAGAAGAAGCACCGGCUAACUCCGUGCCAGCAGCCGCGGUAAUACGGAGGGUGCAAGCGUUAAUCGGAAUUACUGGGCGUAAAGCGCACGCAGGCGGUCUGUCAAGUCGGAUGUGAAAUCCCCGGGCUCAACCUGGGAACUGCAUUCGAAACUGGCAGGCUAGAGUCUUGUAGAGGGGGGUAGAAUUCCAGGUGUAGCGGUGAAAUGCGUAGAGAUCUGGAGGAAUACCGGUGGCGAAGGCGGCCCCCUGGACAAAGACUGACGCUCAGGUGCGAAAGCGUGGGGAGCAAACAGGAUUAGAUACCCUGGUAGUCCACGCUGUAAACGAUGUCGAUUUGGAGGUUGUGCCCUUGAGGCGUGGCUUCCGGAGCUAACGCGUUAAAUCGACCGCCUGGGGAGUACGGCCGCAAGGUUAAAACUCAAAUGAAUUGACGGGGGCCCGCACAAGCGGUGGAGCAUGUGGUUUAAUUCGAUGCAACGCGAAGAACCUUACCUGGUCUUGACAUCCACAGAACUUUCCAGAGAUGGAUUGGUGCCUUCGGGAACUGUGAGACAGGUGCUGCAUGGCUGUCGUCAGCUCGUGUUGUGAAAUGUUGGGUUAAGUCCCGCAACGAGCGCAACCCUUAUCCUUUGUUGCCAGCGGUUAGGCCGGGAACUCAAAGGAGACUGCCAGUGAUAAACUGGAGGAAGGUGGGGAUGACGUCAAGUCAUCAUGGCCCUUACGACCAGGGCUACACACGUGCUACAAUGGCAUAUACAAAGAGAAGCGACCUCGCGAGAGCAAGCGGACCUCAUAAAGUAUGUCGUAGUCCGGAUUGGAGUCUGCAACUCGACUCCAUGAAGUCGGAAUCGCUAGUAAUCGUAGAUCAGAAUGCUACGGUGAAUACGUUCCCGGGCCUUGUACACACCGCCCGUCACACCAUGGGAGUGGGUUGCAAAAGAAGUAGGUAGCUUAACCUUCGGGAGGGCGCUUACCACUUUGUGAUUCAUGACUGGGGGAAGUCGU
This 1447-nucleotide ribosomal RNA is filed under the name Klebsiella pneumoniae. RNAcentral describes it as "16S ribosomal RNA". It matches the Rfam family "Bacterial small subunit ribosomal RNA". The record is from RNAcentral. Lineage: Bacteria; Pseudomonadati; Pseudomonadota; Gammaproteobacteria; Enterobacterales; Enterobacteriaceae.